AGAGUUUGAUCCUGGCUCAGGAUGAACGCUAGCGGCAGGCUUAACACAUGCAAGUCGAGGGGUAACAGGGAAAAGCUUGCUUUUUUGCUGACGACCGGCGAACGGGUGCGUAACGCGUAUAGAAUCUGCCUUGUACAGGAGGAUAGCCUUUAGAAAUGAAGAUUAAUACUCCAUAAUGUAGAGUAGUGGCAUCGCUAUUUUAUUAAAGAUUUAUUGGUACAAGAUGACUAUGCGUCCUAUUAGCUAGAUGGUAAGGUAACGGCUUACCAUGGCGACGAUAGGUAGGGGGUCUGAGAGGAUUAUCCCCCACACUGGUACUGAGACACGGACCAGACUCCUACGGGAGGCAGCAGUGAGGAAUAUUGGUCAAUGGAGGCAACUCUGAACCAGCCAUGCCGCGUGCAGGAAGACUGCCCUAUGGGUUGUAAACUGCUUUUAUACAGGAAGAAACAGAUCUACGUGUAGUUCCUUGACGGUACUGUAAGAAUAGCACCGGCUAACUCCGUGCCAGCAGCCGCGGUAAUAC
RNAcentral lists this ribosomal RNA (526 nucleotides) under Tenacibaculum sp. Its description in RNAcentral is "bacterial SSU rRNA". It matches the Rfam family "Bacterial small subunit ribosomal RNA", at positions 8 to 526 of the family's 1533-position model. Lineage: Bacteria; Pseudomonadati; Bacteroidota; Flavobacteriia; Flavobacteriales; Flavobacteriaceae. The record is from RNAcentral.